UACGCAGGGUCCGAGCGUUGUCCGGAAUUACUGGGCGUAAAGAGCUCGUAGGUGGUUUGUCGCGUUGUUCGUGAAAACUCACAGCUCAACUGUGGGCGUGCGGGCGAUACGGGCAGACUGGAGUACUGCAGGGGAGACUGGAAUUCCUGGUGUAGCGGUGGAAUGCGCAGAUAUCAGGAGGAACACCGGUGGCGAAGGCGGGUCUCUGGGCAGUAACUGACGCUGAGGAGCGAAAGCUAGGGGAGCAAACAGG
Molecule: ribosomal RNA, 253 nt
Filed under: uncultured bacterium
Lineage: Bacteria
Description: partial 16S ribosomal RNA
Rfam family: Bacterial small subunit ribosomal RNA
Source: RNAcentral